This 72-nucleotide transfer RNA is filed under the name Dicranopteris linearis. Its description in RNAcentral is "tRNA-Gln". It matches the Rfam family "tRNA". From Rfam's summary of the family: Transfer RNA (tRNA) molecules are approximately 80 nucleotides in length. Lineage: Eukaryota; Viridiplantae; Streptophyta; Polypodiopsida; Gleicheniales; Gleicheniaceae. RNAcentral also lists the same sequence under 4 other names. The record is from RNAcentral.
UGGGGCGUGGCCAAGUGGUAAGGCAGUGGGUUUUGGUCCCGCUAUUCGGAGGUUCGAAUCCUUCCGUCCCAG